UCCUCAGCAAAAUCCUAUUCAAAUUAUAAAUAUUUGAAAAAAAUAAGAAAAGGAGAAGAUAUUAGAAUUAAUGUGGGCGAGACUUACGUAUUAUAAUUGCUGGAAGUCUUGCCACAUGUUAAUCUGGUAUUUCUCUCCUUUUCCUUUUUUUUCUUGUUUUUACACUACGAGAUAUUUACGACGAUUUGUACUUACGUGGAAUUAACGGGUUUUAUGUUUAAAUCCUUUUACGUGGUGUUUACGACGAUUUCUGCUUACGUGGAAUUAACGAGUGUUUUGUUUAAAUCCUUUUACGUGGUAUUUACGACGAUUUCAUCCUACGUGGUAUUUACGACGAUUUCAUCAUACGAGGACUUUACGACGAUUUGUGCUUAGGUGGAAUUAACGAGUGUUAGGUUUAAAUCCCUAGAAUCCGAAACCCGAAACCCGAGACCCCAAACCCCAAACCCGAAACCCGAAACCCGAAACUCGAAACCCCAAACCCCAAACCCGAAACCCGAAACCCCAAACCCCAAACCCAAAACCCCAAACCCCUAAACCCAAACCCCCAAACCCAAAACCCCAAACCCGAAACCCCAAACCCCAAACCCGAAACCCCAA
This 600-nucleotide long non-coding RNA is filed under the name Brassica napus (rape). Its description in RNAcentral is "long non-coding RNA (BNAP_LNC017467)". The record is from RNAcentral. Lineage: Eukaryota; Viridiplantae; Streptophyta; Magnoliopsida; Brassicales; Brassicaceae.